This 69-nucleotide transfer RNA is filed under the name Limnonectes finchi (Finch's wart frog). Its description in RNAcentral is "tRNA-Val". Lineage: Eukaryota; Metazoa; Chordata; Amphibia; Anura; Dicroglossidae. RNAcentral also lists the same sequence under 1 other name. The record is from RNAcentral.
CAAAAUAUAGCUUAACUAAAGUCCCUUGCUUACACCAAGACAAUAUUCGUUAAAAUCGAAUUGUUUUGA